GCCAAUUGACGCUCCUCUUGGUGGAAUGUAUUAGAAAAAGGGGGAAACGGAGACCAGAAGAAACCUAACCCCAAAGAAACCAAAAUCUUUCUCUCUGUUCUUCUUCUUCUUCUUCUUCCUGCCCAAGCAAACUUCCGUCCCGAACCCUAACCCUAACGCUACUCUUUUUUUUUUUUCUUUUCUCUGUGUUCUGGAUUUCAAUCGGAUUGAAUCGGCGUUUGCUCCGGGGACGAAGGCGAUUUUAGGAAUUAGAAUCUGCGACCGACAAGCGGGAGACGAUGUCUGCUGUGGUGUGCGGAACCAAGAGAUCCUUCUUUGAAGAACUCCCGCCUUCGCCUCCCAUAGCAAAGCGGCUCCGCUGCUCCACUUCUACUUCGCCGAUUAGGUUCGCUGCGCCGUCUCUUAUUGAUCAGCUUCACGAUUUGUUUCCGCACAUGGAUCAUCAGCUUCUUGCGAGAGCCCUUGAAGAAUGUGGCAACGACUUGGAUGCUGCCAUCAAAUGCUUGAGUGACCUCUGUUUGGGAUCUGCUGCUGAGAAUCCGGGUGCUACUGCUGAACCAGAGACAAAUUUGGAUCAAGGUUCAUUUGUCAACGAUGGGGAGGCUGCUGCUUCUGAGAAUUUGUCAGCACCAAGCAGUGUUUCUCUUGAUGGUAGAGAAUGGGUUGACUUGUUUGUAAGGGAAAUGAUGAGCGCUACCAGUGUAGAUGAUGCUAGGACCCGUGCAGCAAGAGCUUUAGAAGCUUUAGAAAACUCAAUUAGUGCACGUGCUGGUGCUGAUGCGGUACAAAAUUUCCACAAGGAAAAUAUACAACUGAAGGAACAAAUUGAAGUACUGAUACGAGAAAAUACUAUUCUUAAGCGAGCAGUUUCCAUACAACAUGAACGUCAGAAGGAGUUCGACGACAAGAACCUAGAGUUGCAGCACCUUAAACAGUUGGUAUCUCAAUAUCAGGAGCAGCUGAGAACGCUAGAGAUAAACAACUAUGCAUUGACAAUGCAUUUGAAGCAGGCUCAGCAAAGCAGCUCGAUUCCAGGGCGCUUCCAUCCCGAUGUGUUCUAACGACGAGGAAUUUAAAGAUCUAAAUUAUUGGUUGCAGGAAGAUACUAGGAGAGCGUGAGUGAGAGGAGGAAAGGGAGAGCCAGGGUCUCAGUUUCGUAUGAAUACAGACCUUUUUGCGGAUCAAUUUCUGUCUGAAGUGGGACGACGGCCAUGGUCUUUUGUCCUAGUUUUCUUCUGGCCAUUGAUUUUUGCGCUGCAUAUUGCACAGCUCGAGGCCUAUCGCGCGGCCUUGUGCCAUUUUUUAAUUAGUUUUUGAUAUCUGUAAUUUAGUUCAUCUUCAUUACUUUAAAUGGUUUCUGGUCUGAUGAAAAGACAAAAUUAUUAGUAUUC
Molecule: RNA transcript, 1391 nt
Organism: Momordica charantia (bitter melon)
Lineage: Eukaryota; Viridiplantae; Streptophyta; Magnoliopsida; Cucurbitales; Cucurbitaceae
Source: RefSeq, a predicted model, not a curated record